RNAcentral lists this long non-coding RNA (2716 nucleotides) under Cricetulus griseus (Chinese hamster). RNAcentral's name for it is "lncRNA (ENSCGRG00015005877.2)". The record is from RNAcentral. Lineage: Eukaryota; Metazoa; Chordata; Mammalia; Rodentia; Cricetidae.
CUUCCAUUAGCACUGUGUGUCAUUAGCAUAUCACAUGUUACAGUCUCCUUAAUCCAGUGUGAGGAGUCCCUCCAUCCAGUUCUCGGCAAACCUUUGUUUCUUGUUUUAGAAGGAACACUAUAAGCCAUAAAGGCAAUCCCAUAGUCAUAAUCUCUCUAGUAGGCUCUGUAGUUUUCAAAGUUUGAAAUUUACUUAACUUUUUUUUGCAUGCUUGUAUUUGAAAACAUGAAGGAGAUACCAGACUGUAAUCAUCAGUGUGUCUUGGGUACAGGAGAUACCUGACUUGCCCCAGUAUUCACACUGGGCUUGUAAAAGUACCUGUGAUUAAAAUACUUAUAAGCCUUUUUGAAGAAAUAAUGUUGUCUAACUAUAUAGUAGGGGACGCUAAGUGAGAUAAACACUGAGUCUCAUAGAGCGAUUGUAUCAAGAGGAGAUUUUCUGUGAAAUGAAUUUACUUGGGGGUCAAAAUGCUCACAUAUUUUAAAGAAAGCAAGUACUUGUUUGAAACAGUACAGCCCCUCUGUUGAGAUUCAUGUGGCUGGUUACAUGCAAACCAAAGGCACAACUAUGAGUUUGGGUGGAGAAAUCUCCAUUUCUUUUUUCCUUCACUGGUCUUUAAAAAUUAUGUUUUUCUAGUGGCUAGAAGGACAAGUCAGAAAUAGUUAAAUUCUGGCUUGGAAACUCAUGAGAAUUAAUGAUCUGUAGACCAAUUUUUUAUCCUAAAACGUCAUGCUUGAUCCCCAACUUCUUAUGGGACUGCUCUUCAGGGCGAUUUCUUGUUUUUCUUUCUUCAGUGUGUACAUGUGCCCUGAGGCUGUUUGUAAUGGGAGAAUUUCAUAAAAUUCAUAAAUUUAAAACACCCCACACAUCCAAAAUUCUUCCUGAAUGUGUCAUUUUCAAGUUAUUUUCACCAAAUCACAUAAAAUAAAGCAGCACUAUGGUCACCUCUUUUUAAUAUUAUCCCUUAUAUUUAAUUUUAUUGGUCUUUCCUCAUAUACUAGGUACCAUCAUGAAUAAAGCAAAUUACAUUGACCACCUGGGUUUAAAUGGCCAGCUUCCAUCUUUUGGUGUUAUUUCUUUGAAAUAAAAUGUAUCUCACAUUUAAUUUGGGAGUAAGAAAACAUAACAUAAAGAAAUAAUGCAAACUUCAAUGCCAUGGGGGGUGUGGCUUACAUGUGUGCCUUAAAACGUGUUUAUAUAUAAGAGGAAUUAACUUGCUUUGUGUAUAAAAGAGCUAUAGUUCUUCAAAGAGCGGGCAUCUGAUCCCAGAACUGAGUUCACUGAGAUUAAAUUGUGCUCUGGGAAUUGAAGGUGUCCUCAGACCCUGGAAAUCCAAAAUGCAAAUGAAGAAGAAAUCAGGAGGUGUAAACACUGAAGGGAAUGAAUGUUUUCUGAAAUCCAGGCAGAAGAGAGACUGCUUGGCAAAAUGGUUGCACAGAACAAACUUGGAAUUUUCAGACUGAAAAAACAAAAACCUGAAAACAACUUCCCCAAAGACAAGGGUGUCAAGUAUCUCAGGCUAACCUCAAAUUUGUUAUGUAUCUGGGGAUGACUGCUCUGCCUCUGCCUCUGCCUCCUGAGUGCUGGAAUUGCAGGGAUGUACCACUAUACCUAGAAGAUGCGGUCCUGGGAAUUGAACUCGGAGUUUUGAAUAUGAUAGGUACAACUGCUUCUAAGUCUCUGGAAGGUUCCAGUGUCCCAGGAGUUCCACAUGCACUCUAAGAUGAUUAUACCACUUUGCUACCAGCUUGCAGUAUUUUCAGUGCUGCAGAAAAGAGUUGCUGCACGAUGAGGAUUUCUGGCGAUGAGAAGCAGAGCUCAUCACUGGCAGGUUAGAUUCUGAAUCAUGGCCUACUAACUAAACCCCGGAGUGCCACACCUUGGAAACACAGAAGACAGAAGUCUCAGUGCGUCAUUUUUCUAGUUGCUUUCAAGGUAUCAUUAAGUGCUGCCUAAGAGUACCCUUCUAGUGCAAAAUGUGUUGUUCAGGAUUCUGUCCAGAUGCUGUUGGGCUGCUUCAAGGAGACUUCAAAUGGUCCUACUAGUGAGCCACCUUAUCGACCUUCACUCUGACAUUUGGCUUGGCUGCGUUUGAAGUGGUCCCAUGAGUGAGUCAUCUUACCGACCUUCACUUUGCCAUUUGGCUCGACUGCAUAUCAGAUGUUGUUGAAACCAAAACUAGUGGAUCCCUCUUCUUUCCAGGGAAGACUACAUUUUAGAAAUCUCCACAAUUACAACUUUAAACUGAAGCCAGAAAAUACAUUUUUUUGAAACUAAUCAGUCAGCAGAUCACCUGUCAUCCAACUGUGUGCCAUAUACAUAUAAUUUCAAGAAACAUUGGCCAUCAAGUACUUAAAAUUUUAGGGAUUUGGGCAACACCCAAUGCAGAACAGAUGAAUUUCAUGGUUUCUUUAUGCAUUUGCACAAAUUAAAAUAUAAGUCUUCACUUGGUUCGUUUGAACCCCUUUCUUCAAUUAGCUCUGUAUGCAGAGAAGGCCAGACAGCAGUUUUCAGAGAGCAAUCAAGAUUCUUCUGCAUGUUGUUACCUCUGUGUGUGAACGCCACUCUGACAGGGCAAAUUCUUGGAUUAAAAGUUGAUUGUACUCUAGCAGUUCUUCUUAUAACUGGUUUUGUAAACACAAAUGUUCAAAAUCACAAAAACUCUUUUCAAACAGUUAUUUUCUUUUCAGAUACAAGAACAGUAGGUAUAAGCUUC